GUUAUAUGGUCAAGCGACUAAGCGCACAUGGUGGAUGCCUAGGCAGUAAGAGGCGAUGAAGGACGUGGUAGUCUGCGAUAAGCCCCGGUUAGCUGACAAACAAGCUUACCCGGGGAUUUCCGAAUGGGGAAACCCACCCUGCUUGCAGGGUAUCUUGCACUGAAUACAUAGGUGCAGGAGGCGAACGCGGUGAACUGAAACAUCUAAGUAACCGUAGGAAAAGAAAUCAACCGAGAUUCCCUCAGUAGCGGCGAGCGAACGGGGACCAGCCCAGUUGCCAUCA
RNAcentral lists this ribosomal RNA (283 nucleotides) under Gammaproteobacteria bacterium. RNAcentral describes it as "partial 23S ribosomal RNA". It matches the Rfam family "Bacterial large subunit ribosomal RNA", at positions 1 to 281 of the family's 2925-position model. The record is from RNAcentral. Lineage: Bacteria; Pseudomonadati; Pseudomonadota; Gammaproteobacteria.